UAGGGAAUAUUCCACAAUGAGCGAAAGCUUGAUGGAGCGACACAGCGUGCACGAUGAAGGUCUUAUGGAUUGUAAAGUGCUGUUGCAAGGGAAGAAAAAGUAGUUGAGGAAAUGCUUCUACAUUGACGGUACCUUGUUAGAAAGCGAUGGCUAACUAUGUGCCAGCAGCCGCGGUAAUACAUAGGUCGCAAGCGUUAUCCGGAAUUAUUGGGCGUAAAGCGUUCGUAGGCUGUUUAUUAAGUCUGGAGUCAAAUCCCAGGGCUCAACCCUGGCUCGCUUUGGAUACUGGUAAACUAGAGUUGGAUAGAGGUAAGCGGAGUUCCAUGUGAAGCGGUGAAAUGCGUAGAUAUAUGGAAGAACACCAAAGGCGAAGGCAGCUUACUGGGUUUAUACUGACGCUGAGGAACGAAAGCGUGGGGAGCAAACAGGAUUAGAUACCCUGGUAGUCCACGCCGUAAACGAUGAUCAUUAGUCGGCAGAGAACUGUUGACGCAGCUAACGCAUUAAAUGAUCCGCCUGAGUAGUAUGCUCGCAAGAGUA
RNAcentral lists this ribosomal RNA (540 nucleotides) under uncultured bacterium. RNAcentral's name for it is "bacterial SSU rRNA". It matches the Rfam family "Bacterial small subunit ribosomal RNA", at positions 355 to 896 of the family's 1533-position model. The record is from RNAcentral.